This 320-nucleotide unclassified non-coding RNA is filed under the name plant metagenome. Its description in RNAcentral is "partial contains 5.8S ribosomal RNA, internal transcribed spacer 2, and large subunit ribosomal RNA". The stretch from base 1 to 105 matches the Rfam family "5.8S ribosomal RNA", at positions 50 to 154 of the family's 154-position model. The record is from RNAcentral.
GAAAUGCGAUAAGUAAUGUGAAUUGCAGAAUUCAGUGAAUCAUCGAAUCUUUGAACGCACAUUGCGCCCGCCAGUAUUCUGGCGGGCAUCCCUGUUCGAGCGUCAUUACAACCCUCAGGCCCCCGGGCCUGGCGUUGGGGAUCGGCGGAAGCCCCCUGCGGGCACAACGCCGUCCCCCAAAUACAGUGGCGGUCCCGCCGCAGCUUCCAUUGCGUAGUAGCUAACACCUCGCAACUGGAGAGCGGCGCGGCCACGCCGUAAAACACCCAACUUCUGAAUGUUGACCUCGAAUCAGGUAAGAAUACCCGCUGAACUUAAGC